RNAcentral lists this ribosomal RNA (265 nucleotides) under uncultured archaeon. Its description in RNAcentral is "partial 16S ribosomal RNA". It matches the Rfam family "Archaeal small subunit ribosomal RNA", at positions 714 to 982 of the family's 1478-position model. The record is from RNAcentral.
AGACGUCUACAUUAGAUACCCCCGUAGUCCCAGCCCUAAACGAUGCGCGUUAGGUGUAUCGGUGACCACGAGUCACCGAGGUGCCGAAGGGAAACCGUGAAACGUGCCGCCUGGGAAGUACGGUCGCAAGGCUGAAACUUAAAGGAAUUGGCGGGGGAGCACCACAACGGGUGGAGCUUGCGGUUUAAUUGGACUCAACGCCGGGAAGCUUACCGGAUAAGACAGCGGAAUGAUUGCCGGGCUGAAGACUCUGCAUGACCAGCUG